UACAGAGGUCCCAAGCGUUGUUCGGAUUCACUGGGCGUAAAGGGUGCGUAGGUGGUGAGGUAAGUCGGAUGUGAAAGCUCCGAGCUCAACUCGGAAAUGGCAUUGGAAACUACCUUGCUCGAGGGUUGGAGGGGGGACUGGAAUACUUGGUGUAGCAGUGAAAUGCGUAGAUAUCAAGUGGAACACCAGUGGCGAAGGCGAGUCCCUGGACAACUCCUGACACUGAGGCACGAAAGCUAGGGGAGCAAACAGG
Molecule: ribosomal RNA, 253 nt
Filed under: uncultured bacterium
Lineage: Bacteria
Description: partial 16S ribosomal RNA
Rfam family: Bacterial small subunit ribosomal RNA
Source: RNAcentral